Long non-coding RNA from Mangifera indica (mango), 1839 nucleotides. RefSeq lists it as uncharacterized. The record is from RefSeq and is a predicted model, not a curated record. The transcript is spliced from 4 exons. NCBI's taxonomy places the organism in Eukaryota, Viridiplantae, Streptophyta, Magnoliopsida, Sapindales, Anacardiaceae.
ACUACACCCUUUUGAACUUGUUUCCUCAAAUUACUGUAAGUGGUAUCCUCUUUGGCCUGUGUUUUCAAUUUCUCAAGAAAAUUGAUUUGAACUUCGGUUAGGGCAGCAACAUGCCCCUGUACUUCCUUGCAGCUGAGUGCAUUUGCCACUUGGUUUUCGUUGCCUACUCGGUACACCCACUCAAAGUCAAACUCGGCCAAGAAUUCUUGCCAUCGAGUUUGCUUUGCCAAUAGCUUCUUUUGAGUUUUGAAGUAGGUGUUGGCCACAUUAUUGGUCACCACUGUAAACUUAGUCCCUAAUAAGUAAUACUUCUAGUUUCCAAGACAAUGUACAACGACAACCAUCUCUUUCUUGUGGGCACUAUAGUGCUGCUCAACAUCCUUAAGUUUUCUGCUUUCAUAGGUAAUUAGAUGCUUUUCCUAGACCAGAACUCCUCCAAAGGCUUUGUCAGAUGCGGUUGUAUGAACUUUAAAGGGCAAGUUGAAAUUGGGUAGUCGUAAGACAGGCUCAGUUGUGACUGCAUCUUUCACUCUGUUAAAAGCUUGCUGGCAAACGGUUUGUCCAGUCCCAUUUUUUAUCUUUUUUUAACAAGUCAAUGAGUAGAGCAACUAUCUUGGAGUAUCCGUCAAUGAAGCACCUAUAAUAGUUAGCCAAUCCAAAGAAAGACUAAAGUUCGGUUACCUUUGUAGGAGAAGUCCAAUCCACAAUCCCCUGAAUUUUGCGUUCAUCCAUCUGGAUCUGCCGUUUACUAAUCUAUGAAAGUGACGAUGUUGGAUUGGGGAGAGGAUGGAAUGGCCACUUCUGCUAUAACUGUUGCUCUCCAGCAUCAUUUCGGCAAAAGGUUACUGUGUGGCAAAAGCUUGACCACCCAAAUGUUCCAAAGGUUGAGUUAACUACACUCAAAAAAAAUUGUGCAUCAAGAUGUUAAGACAGAAAACAUGUUGCUCGAUGCUAAUAGAACUUUGAAAAUCACUGAUUUUGGUGUUGCACGAGUGGAAGCUGAGAACCCAAGAGACAUGACUGGGGAAAGUGGAACCCUUGGCUACAUGGCCCUUGAGGUACCAAUUCUUUAGCAAUUCCUGAAAGUUCAAAUCAUGGUUUUGUAAACUUUGAAAUUAUAACUACAUUAACAUUUUCCAUACACUUGAAAUCUUAAUUACGGCAAUAAUACAUUCUAAUUAAAUUGUUUCCAUGUUUCUUCCUUUUCUUUCUGGUUCAUGACUUUGCAUUUCUUUGAAAGCUGGAGAAGAUUUCUCCAGAAUUAAGUUGUGUAGGUGCUUGAUGGGAAGCCUUACAAUUGAAAAUGUGAUGCCUACAGCUUUGGUACAUGCUUAUGGGAAAUGUUAUGAUGUGCCUUAUCCUGAUCUGAGUUUCGCUGAUGUUUUACCUGCAGUUAGACAGAACUUCCAACCGGAUAUCCCCAGAUGUUGGCAUAAUGCGAAAAUGCUGGGAUGAAAACCCAGAAAAGUGGCCUGACAUGGAGGAGGUGCUGAGGUUACUAGAAGCAGUAGACACAAGCAAGGUAGGAGGCAUGACACCUGAAGAUCAAGCUCAUGGAUGUUUGUGCUUCAUUCCAACUCGAGGCCCAUAAAUUUGUUAUAAUUUUCAUUUGGUCUUGUAGUCAUAUCUAUAUUUGUAUCAUGAGCAGUGCAGUGCAAAUGAAGAAAAGAAACUCAUGAAUGAAGCAGAGAAGCAGUUCAUGACUGCGCCUGAGGUUAUAUAUUGAUUUCUGUAAUUCCUGAAAAAAUAAUCUUGCAACACAGAUAAAGCAGUUGUUGGUUCCGUCUGAAAUUAUACUUGUUUCAAUUGUAUUGAAAAUUAACAUUCUAUUUUUGUCAG